ACUACGGGGGGCAGCAGUGAGGAAUAUUGGUCAAUGGGCGCGAGCCUGAACUAGCCAAGUAGCGUGAAGGAUGACUGCCCUACGGGUUGUAAACUUCUUUUAUAAAGGAAUAAAGUGAGGCACGUGUGCCUUUUUGUAUGUACUUUAUGAAUAAGGAUCGGCUAACUCCGUGCCAGCAGCCGAGGUAAUACGGAGGCUCCGAGCGUUAUCCGGAUUUUUUGGGUUUAAAAGGAGAGUAGAUGGGUUGUUAAGUCAGUUGUGAAAGUUUGCGGCUCAAACGUAAAAUUGCAAGUGAUACUGGCAGUCUUGAGUACAGUUGAGGUAGGCGGAAUUCGUGGUGUAGCGGUGAAAUGCUUAGAUAUCACGAAGAACUCCGAUUGCGAAGGCAGCUUACUAAACUGCCACUGACAUUGAUGCUCGAAAGUGUGGGUAUCAAACAGGAUUAGAUACCCGGGUAGUC
RNAcentral lists this ribosomal RNA (460 nucleotides) under uncultured bacterium. RNAcentral describes it as "partial 16S ribosomal RNA". It matches the Rfam family "Bacterial small subunit ribosomal RNA", at positions 338 to 795 of the family's 1533-position model. The record is from RNAcentral.